This 352-nucleotide unclassified non-coding RNA is filed under the name soil metagenome. RNAcentral's name for it is "partial contains 5.8S ribosomal RNA, internal transcribed spacer 2, and large subunit ribosomal RNA". The stretch from base 1 to 120 matches the Rfam family "5.8S ribosomal RNA", at positions 35 to 154 of the family's 154-position model. The record is from RNAcentral.
GAUGAAGAACGCAGCGAAAUGCGAUAAGUAAUGUGAAUUGCAGAAUUCAGUGAAUCAUCGAAUCUUUGAACGCACAUUGCGCCCGCCAGUAUUCUGGCGGGCAUGCCUGUUCGAGCGUCAUUACAACCCUCAGGCCCCCGGGCCUGGCGUUGGGGAUCGGCGGAGCCCCCCGUGGGCACACGCCGUCCCCCAAAUACAGUGGCGGUCCCGCCGCAGCUUCCAUCGCGUAGUAGGUAACACCUCGCGACUGGAGAGCGGCGCGGCCACGCCGUAAAACACCCAACUCUUCUGAAGUUGACCUCGAAUCAGGUAGGAAUACCCGCUGAACUUAAGCAUAUCAAUAAGCGGAGGA